Molecule: ribosomal RNA, 253 nt
Filed under: uncultured bacterium
Lineage: Bacteria
Description: partial 16S ribosomal RNA
Rfam family: Bacterial small subunit ribosomal RNA
Source: RNAcentral
UACGUAGGUGGCAAGCGUUGUCCGGAUUUACUGGGCGUAAAGGGCGUGCAGGCGGUCUGUUAAGUGCAGGGUGAAAGCCCCCGGCUCAACUGGGGAGGGUCACGCGAUACUGAUCGACUCGAAGGCAGGAGAGGGUAGUAGAAUUCCCGGUGUAGUGGUGAAAUGCGUAGAUAUCGGGAGGAACACCAGUGGCGAAGGCGACUACCUGGCCUGUUCUUGACGCUGAGGCGCGAAAGCUAGGGGAGCAAACGGG